Molecule: ribosomal RNA, 253 nt
Filed under: uncultured bacterium
Lineage: Bacteria
Description: partial 16S ribosomal RNA
Rfam family: Bacterial small subunit ribosomal RNA
Source: RNAcentral
UACGGGGGGGGCAAGCGUUGUUCGGAAUUACUGGGCGUAAAGGGUCUGUAGGUGGCUUGCUAAGUCAGACGUGAAAUCCCUCAGCUUAACUGGGGAACUGCGUCUGAGACUGGCGAGCUUGAGUGCAGGAGAGGAACGCGGAAUUCCAGGUGUAGCGGUGAAAUGCGUAGAUAUCUGGAGGAACACCGGUGGCGAAGGCGGCAUCCUGGACCGGUAUUGACGCUGAGGCGCGAAAGCCAGGGGAGCAAACGGG